This 473-nucleotide ribosomal RNA is filed under the name Klebsiella variicola. RNAcentral describes it as "bacterial SSU rRNA". It matches the Rfam family "Bacterial small subunit ribosomal RNA", at positions 632 to 1104 of the family's 1533-position model. The record is from RNAcentral. Lineage: Bacteria; Pseudomonadati; Pseudomonadota; Gammaproteobacteria; Enterobacterales; Enterobacteriaceae. RNAcentral also lists the same sequence under 1 other name.
ACUGGCAGGCUAGAGUCUUGUAGAGGGGGGUAGAAUUCCAGGUGUAGCGGUGAAAUGCGUAGAGAUCUGGAGGAAUACCGGUGGCGAAGGCGGCCCCCUGGACAAAGACUGACGCUCAGGUGCGAAAGCGUGGGGAGCAAACAGGAUUAGAUACCCUGGUAGUCCACGCUGUAAACGAUGUCGAUUUGGAGGUUGUGCCCUUGAGGCGUGGCUUCCGGAGCUAACGCGUUAAAUCGACCGCCUGGGGAGUACGGCCGCAAGGUUAAAACUCAAAUGAAUUGACGGGGGCCCGCACAAGCGGUGGAGCAUGUGGUUUAAUUCGAUGCAACGCGAAGAACCUUACCUGGUCUUGACAUCCACAGAACUUUCCAGAGAUGGAUUGGUGCCUUCGGGAACUGUGAGACAGGUGCUGCAUGGCUGUCGUCAGCUCGUGUUGUGAAAUGUUGGGUUAAGUCCCGCAACGAGCGCAACCC